Molecule: ribosomal RNA, 1314 nt
Filed under: uncultured Alphaproteobacteria bacterium
Lineage: Bacteria; Pseudomonadati; Pseudomonadota; Alphaproteobacteria
Description: uncultured alpha proteobacterium 16S ribosomal RNA
Rfam family: Bacterial small subunit ribosomal RNA
Source: RNAcentral
ACGCUGGCGGCACGCCUAACACAUGCAAGUCGAACGAAGUAGCAAUACUUAGUGGCAGACGGGUGAGUAACAUGUAGGUAUCUGCCCUUUGGCCUGGAAUAACACGAGGAAACUUGUGCUAAUACCGGAUAAGUCUUUACGGAGAAAGCUUUAUGCACCAUUGGAUGAGCCUGCACUUGAUUAGUUUGUUGGUGGGGUAAUGGCCUACCAAGACUGUGAUCAAUAGCUGAUUUGAGAGGAUGAUCAGCCACAUUGGGACUGAGACACGGCCCAAACUCCUACGGGAGGCAGCAGUGGGGAAUCUUGCACAAUGGAGGAAACUCUGAUGCAGCGAUGCCGCGUGAGUGAAGAAGGCCCUUGGGUUGUAAAGCUCUUUCGUCGGGGAAGAAAAUGACUGUACCCGAAUAAGAAGGUCCGGCUAACUUCGUGCCAGCAGCCGCGGUAAUACGAAGGGACCUAGCGUAGUUCGGAAUUACUGGGCUUAAAGAGUUCGUAGGUGGUUGAAAAAGUUAGUGGUGAAAUCCCAGAGCUUAACUCUGGAACUGCCAUUAAAACUUUUCAGCUAGAGUAUGAUAGAGGAAAGCAGAAUUUCUAGUGUAGAGGUGAAAUUCGUAGAUAUUAGAAAGAAUACCAAUUGCGAAGGCAGCUUUCUGGAUCAUUACUGACACUGAGGAACGAAAGCAUGGGUAGCGAAGAGGAUUAGAUACCCUCGUAGUCCAUGCCGUAAACGAUGUGUGUUAGACGUUGGAAAUUUAUUUUCAGUGUCGCAGGGAAACCGAUAAACACACCGCCUGGGGAGUACGACCGCAAGGUUAAAACUCAAAUGAAUUGACGGGGACCCGCACAAGUAGUGGAGCAUGUGGUUUAAUUCGAAGAUACGCGCAGAACCUUACCAACACUUGACAUGUUCGUCGCGACUCUAAGAGAUUAGAGUUUUCGGUUCGGCCGGACGAAACACAGGUGCUGCAUGGCUGUCGUCAGCUCGUGUCGUGAGAUGUUGGGUUAAGUCCCGCAACGAGCGCAACCCUCACUUUUAGUUGCCAUCAUUAAGUUGGGCACUCUGAAAGAACUGCCAGUGAUAAGCUGGAGGAAGGUGGGGAUGACGUCAAGUCCUCAUGGCCCUUACGUGUUGGGCUACACACGUGCUACAAUGGUAUCUACAACAGGAAGCAAAACUGCGAAGUUAAGCAAAUCCCUAAAAGAUACCUCAGUUCGGAUUGCACUCUGCAACUCGAGUGCAUGAAGCUGGAAUUACUAGUAAUCGUGGAUCAGCGUGCCACGGUGAAUGCGUUCCCGGGUCUUGUACUCACCGCC